RNAcentral lists this ribosomal RNA (1169 nucleotides) under uncultured soil eukaryote. Its description in RNAcentral is "SSU rRNA". It matches the Rfam family "Eukaryotic small subunit ribosomal RNA", at positions 12 to 1215 of the family's 1831-position model. The record is from RNAcentral.
UCCUGCCAGUAGUCAUAUGCUUGUCUAAAAGAUUAAGCCAUGCAUGUGUAAGUUUAAGUAUUUUAACGCGAAACUGCGGACAGCUCAUUAAAUCAGUUAUAGUCUAUUCGGAGAGCCAAGUUAAUCGGAUAACUGCAGUAAUUCUGGAGCUAAUACGUGAAACAAGCCGAACAGGUGAUACUUUUCGAAUUAACUAGGUACUUUGGAUGAUUCAGAAAAUGUUAUCGGAUCGCAUGCCCUUGAGGCGGCGACAGUUCGUUCGAAUAUCUGACCUAUCAAGCUUCGAUGGCAGUUUAGUGGACUGCCAUGCUUGCAACGGGUGACGGGGAAUUAGGGUUCGAUUCCGGAGAAGGAGCCUUAGAAACAGCUACUACUUCCAAGGAAGGCAGCAGGCGCGCAAAUUACCCAAUAGUAAUUCACUGAGGUAGUGACAAUAAAUAACAAUGCUGGCCCUCUCUGAGGGCUAGCAAUUGGAAUGAGUGCAAUUUAAAUCAGUCAACGAGGAACAAUUGGAGGACAAGUCAGGUGCCAGCACCCGCGGUAAUUCCUGCUCCAAUAGCGUAUAUUAAAAUUGUUGCGGUUAAAAAGCUCGUAGUUGGAUUGAAGGAGGUGAGCGGGAAGGUCUGCCUCACGGCGUGACCGCCUGCUAGCUUUCUGAAUGCCCGAUCACGAUUGGGAUGGCCUUAACUGGUUGUUCUGCGUGAUCGAGCCGUGUACUUUGAAUAAAUUGGAGUGUUCAAAACAGGCGCUUGCGCUCGGACAUUUUAGCAUAGGAUACUGGAAUAGGGCAUAAGAGGUUUAUUUAGUGGCCUCUUGUGCAAUGAUUAACAGAAACGGUUGGGGGUGUUCAUAUUUAUUAGUCAGAGGUGAAAUUCUUGGAUUUGAGAAAGAUGCACUGUUGCGAAAGCGUUCAUCAAGGACGUUUUCAUUGAUCAAGAACGAAAGUUAGGGGAUCGAAGACGAUCAGAUACCGUCGUAGUCUUAACUAUAAACGAUACCAACUGAUACUCGAAGGAUGUUUUCAAGGUGACGCCUCCGGCGAUCUAGAGAAAUUAAAGUCUCUAGGUUCCGGGGGGAGUAUGGUCGCAAGGCUGAAACUUAAAGGAAUUGACGGAAAGGCACACCAGGAGUGGAGCCUGCGGCUUAAUUUGACCCAACACGGGAAAACU